Molecule: unclassified non-coding RNA, 1080 nt
Filed under: Bactrocera latifrons
Lineage: Eukaryota; Metazoa; Arthropoda; Insecta; Diptera; Tephritidae
Description: uncharacterized LOC108972735, transcript variant X1
Source: RNAcentral
UCGUCGCUGUCCAAAAAAUGCGAUGGACGGAACGAGGACUGAAACGAGUAAGUUCUUGUGGCAUUUACAUAGUGGACUCCGUCGCCGAGUCCUGGAUUCAACCCGGUUGACCAACGUCUGUCAGCAAUCCACAAGUUCCUCACAUAUCGCUGAUUUGCGCCAACGCCCCGAUGGAAGGACGGAGGACGAUGUGACCAAAGUUGUCUUUUAUAAGUGCGCUUAGAACAAAUCUAUGAGGGCUGCUCCCGCCACGAUGUCAAAAUCGUACUUGGCGACUUUAACGCCAGGGUGGGAAAAGAAGGUAUCUUUGGCACAACAAACGCACAUCAACAAACCCCAAAAGGAAUUGACGUCGAGCAGAUGCUCUCUGAGAGCACUCAUCAGCAACUGUGGUACGGCAUUUCCAGCUCCUUACAUACAGCUGCAAACGAAACCAGUGCACAAUAACAGCUGGUACGAUGAGGAGUGCCGUGUCGUAGACAGACUGCCCACGUCGCAACGUUAUAAUCGACCACAAUACCUGCGGGACGAGUUAGAUACCGAGAAUGGAAGAAGGAAGCAAGACGCAUUUGCAGACAAAAACGGAGAGCGACUAAAAUAUUUUGACGAAAUUCAAAUCAAACAACGGUAGAAAUGAAAGUGAUACAGGGUGCCGCAAUUAUAGCGCAAAAAUCAGCAAUAUUCUGGGUCUUGAAAGCAUCCAAGUUUUGCUAAAGUGCUAGGCAAGCCAGGAUGGAUGAUAAAGAAGGUCAUUGAAAAUGUUUGGUGUGAUUGGUAAGAAGUCAUCACUAGCGGUGAAACUCUUAAUUCGGGUCUGUAGUGUCAACAUUUGAACCGUUCCAAGGAGAAUACUCAUACGUGUCCAGCUUUGUCAAAUAAGAGAGGAAUUGUGUUCAAUCAAGAACAUACCUGGCCGCACAAAUCGGUAGUGGCACGCCAGCAGCUCCGAGAGGUGCUUAUGCAUCCACCUUACAGGCCACAGCUAGCAGUAAUUGAUUACUACCUGUUAAUGUCCAGUGACUUUAUCAGUUUUUUGCUAAUAUAGUCCAGGCCUUAACUUCAAAAUGCUAAGAAGUUAUG